UACGUAGGGUGCGAGCGUUAAUCGGAAUUACUGGGCGUAAAGCGUGCGCAGGCGGUUUUGUAAGCCAGGUGUGAAAUCCCCGGGCUCAACCUGGGAAUGGCAUUUGGGACUGGCAAGGCUGGAGUGCGGCAGAGGAGACUGGAAUUCCUGGUGUAGCAGUGAAAUGCGUAGAUAUCAGGAGGAACACCGGUGGCGAAGGCGGGUCUCCGUGGG
This 213-nucleotide ribosomal RNA is filed under the name uncultured bacterium. RNAcentral describes it as "partial 16S ribosomal RNA". It matches the Rfam family "Bacterial small subunit ribosomal RNA", at positions 524 to 735 of the family's 1533-position model. The record is from RNAcentral.